Molecule: ribosomal RNA, 442 nt
Filed under: uncultured Bacillota bacterium
Lineage: Bacteria; Bacillati; Bacillota
Description: bacterial SSU rRNA
Rfam family: Bacterial small subunit ribosomal RNA
Source: RNAcentral
GGGCCCGCACAAGCAGCGGAGCAUGUGGUUUAAUUCGAAGCAACGCGAAGAACCUUACCAGGGCUUGACAUCCACUUAAAACAAGAGAGAUCUUGCGUGUACUUCGGUACAAAGUGAGACAGGUGGUGCAUGGUUGUCGUCAGCUCGUGUCGUGAGAUGUUGGGUUAAGUCCCGCAACGAGCGCAACCCUUACCUUUAGUUGCUAACAAGUAGAGUUGAGCACUCUAGAGGGACCGCCGAGGCUAACUCGGAGGAAGGUGGGGAUGAUGUCAAAUCAUCAUGCCCCUUAUGUCCUGGGCUACACACGUGCUACAAUGGGCAGCACAAAGAGAAGCGAAGUCGUAAGGCAGAGCGGAACUCAAAAAGCUGUUCUCAGUUCGGAUCGUGGGCUGCAACCGCCACGUGAAGUCGGAGUUGCUAGUAAUCGCGAAUCAGCAUGUCG